UACGAAGGGGGCUAGCGUUGCUCGGAAUCACUGGGCGUAAAGCGCACGUAGGCGACUUUCUAAGUCAGGGGUGAAAUCCUGGAGCUCAACUCCAGAACUGCCUUUGAUACUGGGAAGCUCGAGUCCGGAAGAGGUGAGUGGAACUCCGAGUGUAGAGGUGAAAUUCGUAGAUAUUCGGAAGAACACCAGUGGCGAAGGCGGCUAUCUGGACGGUUACUGACGCUAAGACUCGAAAGCGUGGGGAGCAAACAGG
RNAcentral lists this ribosomal RNA (253 nucleotides) under uncultured bacterium. Its description in RNAcentral is "partial 16S ribosomal RNA". It matches the Rfam family "Bacterial small subunit ribosomal RNA", at positions 524 to 776 of the family's 1533-position model. The record is from RNAcentral.